AACGAACGCUGGCGGCACCCCCCUGCCUAACACAUGCAAGUCGAACGAGAAAGUUUCCUUCGGGGAACUAGUAAAGUGGCGCAAGGGUGAGUAACACGUGAAUAAUCUGCCUACGAAUUCGGGAUAACUCGGCGAAAGUUGUGCUAAUACCGGAUAAGACCACACUCCUAAUGGAGCGUGGCCAAAGGAGUCUCAAACUCCGUUUGUAGAUGAGUUCGCGGACCAUUAGCUUGUUGGCGGGAUAACAGCCACCAAGGCGACGAUGGUUAGCCGGCCUGAGAGGGCGAUCGGCCACACUGGAACUGAGACACGGCCCAGACUCCUACGGGAGGCAGCAGUGGGGAAUAUUGCGCAAUGGGCGAAAGCCUGACACAGCCAUGCCGCGUGUGUGAAG
Molecule: ribosomal RNA, 394 nt
Filed under: uncultured Nitrospina sp.
Lineage: Bacteria; Pseudomonadati; Nitrospinota; Nitrospinia; Nitrospinales; Nitrospinaceae
Description: bacterial SSU rRNA
Rfam family: Bacterial small subunit ribosomal RNA
Source: RNAcentral